CUACGGGUGGCUGCAGUGGGGAAUAUUUGCCAAUGGGGGAAACCCUGAUCCAGCCAUGCCGCGUGAGUGAUGCAGUCCUUCUUGUUGUAAAGCUCUUUUAUCAGGGAAGAUUAUGACGGUACCUGAAGAAUAAGCACCGGCUAACUUCGUGCCAGCAGCCGCGGUAAUACGAAGGGUGCUAGCGUUGUUCGGAAUCUCUGGGCGUAAAGCGCGCGUAGGCGGUGAUACAAGUCAGGGGUGAAAUCCUGAGGCUCAACCUCAGAAUUGCCUUUGAAACUGUAUUGCUGGAGUAUCGGAGGGGAGAGCGGAAUUGCUAAUGUAGCGGUGAAAUGCGUAGAUAUUAGCAGGAACACCGGUGGCGAAGGCGGCUCUCUGGACGAUAACUGACGCUGAGGCGCGAAAGCGUGGGUAGCAAACAGGAUUAGAUACCCUGGUAGUC
Molecule: ribosomal RNA, 439 nt
Filed under: uncultured bacterium
Lineage: Bacteria
Description: partial 16S ribosomal RNA
Rfam family: Bacterial small subunit ribosomal RNA
Source: RNAcentral